AGUGGACGCUGGCGGUAGGCCUAACACAUGCAAGUCGAACGGCAGCACAGUAAGAGCUUGCUCUUACGGGUGGCGAGUGGCGGACGGGUGAGGAAUACAUCGGAAUCUACUUUUUCGUGGGGGAUAACGUAGGGAAACUUACGCUAAUACCGCAUACGACCUACGGGUGAAAGCAGGGGAUCUUCGGACCUUGCGCGAUUGAAUGAGCCGAUGUCGGAUUAGCUAGUUGGCGGGGUAAAGGCCCACCAAGGCGACGAUCCGUAGCUGGUCUGAGAGGAUGAUCAGCCACACUGGAACUGGGACACGGUCCAGACUCCUACGGGAGGCAGCAGUGGGGAAUAUUGGACAAUGGGCGCAAGCCUGAUCCAGCCAUACCGCGUGGGUGAAGAAGGCCUUCGGGUUGUAAAGCCCUUUUGUUGGGAAAGAAAAGCAGCAGGUUAAUACCCCGCUGUUCUGACGGUACCCAAAGAAUAAGCACCGGCUAACUUCGUG
This 492-nucleotide ribosomal RNA is filed under the name uncultured bacterium. RNAcentral's name for it is "partial 16S ribosomal RNA". It matches the Rfam family "Bacterial small subunit ribosomal RNA", at positions 29 to 507 of the family's 1533-position model. The record is from RNAcentral.